This 3133-nucleotide long non-coding RNA is filed under the name Gossypium barbadense (sea-island cotton). RNAcentral describes it as "long non-coding RNA (GBAR_LNC002151)". Lineage: Eukaryota; Viridiplantae; Streptophyta; Magnoliopsida; Malvales; Malvaceae. The record is from RNAcentral.
UUACCAAACAUUAAAAGUAGAACUAUUUGCACAUUCAUAAGCAUCAACAAGUUCAUCAUUUUAUGCCAACUCAAAUGGCCAAAAUACAUAUCCAUCAAACAUACCAAAAUGACCGAAGUUUAUACAUGCCAUAUACCAUAUGUACAUAACUUCAAAAGUACCAAAAUAGAUGAUCGAUAGUGCGAUAAAGUCUUUGACGGUCCCCGAAUUCGAGCUAGCUUUGCAGAAUUAUAAAACAUCAAAAUUUAAACAAAGUAAGCUAUAAAGCUUAGUAAGUUCGUAUAUGAACAUGAAAUAAUCACAACAUUCAUAAAGCAAUUCAAAAUAGAUAAUAUCAUCAACAUUUAAAGCAUCAAUUCAUGAGCUAACAUAAAAUUUGUUCAUAUCUGCAUUCAUGAGUUCUCAACUUCAUCUAUCUCGAUACUUGAAUAGUUUUUUGUACAUACCUAUACCGAUACAUUUAUAUUUCUCAUCAAUACUCUUAUCAAACCGCUCCGGUUUAUAAGUGCUUACGAUAAAAAUUCAUCGAUUUUUUUAUGCCAUAAUCCAACUAUGGUCUUACACAUACAUUGUUAAGGCCCUGUCAUGGUAUUUCGUUCACAUGCCAUAACCCGGUUAUGGUCUUUUUAUUCAUUUUCCAUAGCCCAACCAUGGUCUUAUUCGGCAACUUGCUUAUUCAAUUCGUACAUUUCAUUUACUAUCCCAACAGUUAUCCAAUAGAAUAAUUACUAUCUCAAUUUCAUCCAUCAAACAAAUAGAUACACAUUUAAGUUCAAUUAUACGAACUUACCUCGUAUACAAAAUUGACGGAUCGGGUCGACUACUCAAUAACCUUGCUUUUCCCCUGAUUUAAAUUUGAAUUCUUUCUUUCUUGAUCUAUAUGAAUUCAAAAUUGAAUUAUUCAAUCAUAUAUUCUUUCAAUUUAGUCCAAAACAUUCAUUUAGGCAUAUUUUCACUUUAGCCCCUAAACUUUCACACUUUUAACAAUUUAGUCCUUUUUUCAGAAUUACUCAAAAUUCACAUAAUUUCAUUAAACCCAAGCUUGGCCUAAUUACAUAUAGGUCCCUAGAAGCCCAAAAAUUUCAUUUAUUUCACAUUACAACCCUUAAAUUUUCACAUUUCACAAAUUAAUCCCUAUUUGACAUUUUUAUCAAAAAUCUCUUUACAAAACCAUUAAAUCUAUCAAUAAAUCUUCAUAACCUAUCAACUCAAGUAUUCAACAAUGGUAACUCUCAAAAUCUUUAACAAUUUCAAAAUCUAAGGUACGGGCUAGCUAGAUUAUGAAGCAACGAUCUCAAAAACGUAAAAAUUAUUAAAAACCGAGCUCAAAAUAUACCUAAUUGCUUGAAUUAGUCAUGGAUGAAUGAACCCUAUUUUUUCCUUCUUUUUCUUCUAAUUUUGGUGCACAAAGAUGAUAAUGAAUGAAAUUUGUGCUUUAUUUUUAUUUAUUUUAACUUUAUUUACAAAAUACCAUAAUUAACCUUAUUUAUUAACCAUUAAAAUCACUUAAUAUAUACCCAAAAUUGUCCACUAUCAUUUAAAAUCGUCUAAUUACCAUUUAAGGCCAUCAUAUUUAAAAUCCAAAUCCAAUUGACACCUUUAACUAAUAGCAUGCAACUUUUGAAUUUUACGCGAUUUAGUCCUUUUUCUCAAAUCGAGCAUUAAACGAUAAAAUUACUUCAUGAAAAUUUCACACAUUCAUACUUUCAUGCUAUAUACACAUAAAAUAAUAUUCAAAAUAAUUUUUUCAACAUCGAAUUCGAGGUUCCGAAACUACUGUUUCGAUUUAGCUAAAACCGGGUUGUUACAGAUUUUUCUUUCUAGUUGUCCAUGAGUUGGGAAUUCUUAAAUUUCUUACCCGAUUUGUUUUCUUUUUCUUUUUCCCAAAUGAAAAUAGUGUAAAAAAGGAGAGCAAUCAGAUAAGGCAUCAAAAUUUAAUUGAAACAAUUAUAGCAUUAAAAGUAAGAAAUGAAGAUUGGGCAACAUUUAAAUAGCUCCAGCAACUGUCAGUCAGCACUUGUGCCAAAUUUAUGAAGCUCGAAAUGAAAAAAAAUGAACAAAUUUCAGAUGGAAAGAAAAAGCUUCAAUUUUCAUUCUGCAAAAGGAACUGUGGUGCAUGGGAACACCAGCUGAAAAAUAGGGAGAUAAAGAAAACAGUUGAACCUACUUCUCUAGCCAAGAUGUAUGAGAUUAAUAAAUUUCAACAAAGAUUAUAAAUGUCUAAGUAUUAAAGUGCAUUGUUUUUUAAUUAGAAUAAACUAUGAACAUCAUCAUUUGGCAUUCAUCAAAAGGAAGGAUAGUCCAACAUCAAUUGCAUACUUCACUAAACCAGUAAAAAAUCAGGUACUUCCAUAAUCAACCCUAAGGUAAUCUUCACUCCCAUGUAGUCACUAAAUCACUGUUUUUCCCCUCAUUCAAAGAAACCCAAAUUUUCUUAGUGUCACUUUAUCAAACAUUUCACAUGCAUAACUCGGGAACCCACAAAAAUAGACAAUUUCAUUUGCCUAUUCAACAAUAAUUGUAGUGAUUUGCUUAAAGCUCAGACCUUCAAAUAAAGCAACUAAUUUUUUUUAAAAAAAAGCAUGAACCAAGAAUUAAGUACUAAGAUAGAUUUUAGAAAACCAUUUAUAAAAGAGGCACAAGCAAAGGGAUUUACCGGUCAUAAUCAAUUAUACUUCAAAAAAUAACCCAAAGAACCCUAAAAAAUUACAGUCCCAACUAGUAAAAUUCAACAACCCAAUAACAUUAUUCGAAUUUAAAAAAAAGAUAUAAAAAAAUAUAGAAUGAAAUGAAAAAUUACCAGAAUUUUUUGGUUUCAGCGAAGAGAACAGCGGUGAGAAAUUUUUGGUUGCUGUUUCUGGUGAAGAAUUUAUACAUAAGAGAAAAGGGCUAGGAUUUAAAAGAUGAGAAAAUAAAUUAACAAACAGAUAAAAUGAAAAACAUAAAAACUUACACGCGACGCAGCAGAGGACUGUCGACGGCAAUGCAGCAGACAUUGGGGAAAAAAGUUAAGGAUUUAGGGGAGGGGAACUGAUUUGGGGAAAAGAUGUUGGGAAAAAAAGUAAGGGAUUUGGGGGAAAAUUUUAGAGAUUUCAGGGAGAGGAACUGAUUUGGGAAAAAAACUAAGGGAUUU